This 318-nucleotide long non-coding RNA is filed under the name Ananas comosus (pineapple). RNAcentral describes it as "long non-coding RNA (ACOM_LNC006715)". The record is from RNAcentral. Lineage: Eukaryota; Viridiplantae; Streptophyta; Magnoliopsida; Poales; Bromeliaceae.
GGUGAAAAAAUAAAUCAUUUUAUUAGGGGCAUUAUGUUGAGUAUAAAAAUCGAAAACAUCAUUUUCUCAUAGCUUAAGUUAUUAAAGAUAAAUGAAUAUUCCAUAACAUUUUACGUGAAAUCAGAGUAAGAGGUGAGUAUUUUAUUUUUAUAUAUGUAUUAAUAGAAGAUUCUGAAUUCGAGCCACGCCAAAUUCUUUGGGUCAUUUAGUUUUUUCCUAUUUAAUUAUUUUACAUGAUCAUAAAUAUCCUUCACAUCUUAGGCCUAUUAAAAAAUUUGGAACCUAAUAAAAGUUAUUAGAGAUUAUCCAUUAUUCAAC